This is a long non-coding RNA of Salvia splendens (bonfire salvia), 1069 nucleotides long. RefSeq lists it as uncharacterized. The transcript has 3 exons. The record is from RefSeq and is a predicted model, not a curated record. NCBI's taxonomy places the organism in Eukaryota, Viridiplantae, Streptophyta, Magnoliopsida, Lamiales, Lamiaceae.
CUAUAUAUUCAUAUAAAUUUCUUCAAUCUGCAUAGCAUUUCUAGUGCAUUGAUAUUUCAUCUCAUUGCGUAAAUUGAGAGUGAAAAAGAAAAUGAAACAAUCUCCUUCAUCUUCCCCCAUUUCUUCAACAAUUAUGAUUAAAAGUUUGGUGGUGAUGUUUACAGUGUUGAUGGGCAGCUGCGAAGCUCAAUUUUCGACUGAUUUUUACAAAAAUGGCCUGCCCUAAGGUGUUCACCGCCGUGAAAUCGGUGGUUGCGGCCGCCGUCUCCGAAGAGAAUAUACAAUUCGCCUACACUUCCACGACUGCUUUGUUCAAGGCUGCUGCGAUGGAUCGAUGAUGGUCAUCGAUAGGAUCAAGCCUAAGGUUGAAUCCGUGUGUGGUCGACAUCGUAGCCAUUGCGGCCCGUGACUCGGUGGUUCUAAUUAAUUUGAUUUUCUUUAAAAAUGUUCAUUUAUUAAAUGGGUUUGGAUAUUUGAAUUUAAGAUAAAGUGUAAUUAAGCGUACGAUGAUUUAAUCAGUUGGAAGGAGAGAUUCGAAAUCGGCAAGCCUAAUGGUGCGUUACCACCACCUACUUCCACUCUUAGCAACCUCAUCAAUCGGUUCAGUGCUCUCCGUGAGGGACAUGGUUGUCUUAUCGGGAGCACACACUAUAGGAAAAGCAAGGUGUACAUCCUUCCUUCAAAGGUAGAAUAUACAAUGAUACAUACCAACAUUCUUUGCAAAUAAAAGGCAAACCAAUUGCCCUUUCACCAAUGCUACCAAACGACACACCAAUGUGGACCCUCUCGACCACAAAACUCCGAUUCAAACCUCCUCCACUCCGACCAAGUCCUCUAUAAUAGUGGCACCACCGACUCCCUUGUCGAGGCCUAUGCCAGAAAUGGCCGAGCUUUUGACAUCGCCCCUCUCACGGGCUCAAAAGGCGAAAUACGCAAGAAUUGUAGAAAAAUACAUUGUACGUACCAUUUUAUUAUUUAAGCAAUCCAAAUGUACGUGCAUAAUGUCCCUAAGAUUCGAAUCAAAUCGCACUACUCUUAUUUAAAUUGACUUUAUUAUUAUUUUUAUUAA